Molecule: ribosomal RNA, 119 nt
Filed under: Aegilops tauschii subsp. strangulata
Lineage: Eukaryota; Viridiplantae; Streptophyta; Magnoliopsida; Poales; Poaceae
Source: RNAcentral
GGAUGCGAUCAUACCAGCACUAAAGCACCGGAUCCCAUCAGAACUCCGAAGUUGAGCGUGCUUGGGCGAGAGUAGUACUAGGAUGGGUGACCUCCUGGGAAGUCCUCGUGUUGCAUUCG